This 1343-nucleotide ribosomal RNA is filed under the name metagenome. RNAcentral's name for it is "bacterial LSU rRNA". It matches the Rfam family "Bacterial large subunit ribosomal RNA", at positions 1537 to 2910 of the family's 2925-position model. The record is from RNAcentral.
AAAAUCCACAGAUCUUGGGGAAAUACGAUAGUACUCGGAGUCUUCGGACAAAGAGAUAGUGCGCCUAAGGGCUUCCAAGAAAAACCUCUAAACUUCAGGUAAUUAGUACCAGUACCGUAAACCGACACAGGUAGUUGAGGAGAGAAUCCUAAGGUGCUCGAGAGAUUCAUGGCUAAGGAAUUAGGCAAAAUAGACCUGUAACUUCGGGAGAAAGGUCGCCAGCGCAAGCUGGCCGCAGUGAAGAGGUCCAGGCGACUGUUUAUCAAAAACACAGGGCUCUGCAAAAUCGUAAGAUGAAGUAUAGGGCCUGACACCUGCCCGGUGCUGGAAGGUUAAGAGGAGAUGUUAUCUUCGGAGAAGCAUUGAAUUGAAGCCCCAGUAAACGGCGGCCGUAACAAUAACGGUCCUAAGGUAGCGAAAUUCCUUGUCGGGUAAGUUCCGACCUGCACGAAUGGUGUAACGAUCUGGACACUGUCUCAGCCAUGAGCUCGGUGAAAUUGUAGUAACGGUGAAGAUGCCGUUUACCCGCAGUGGGACGAAAAGACCCUGUGCACCUUUACUAUAGCUUAGUAUUGACCUUGGAUAAAUGAUGUGUAGGAUAGGUUGGAGACUGUGAAGUGGCGUCGCCAGGCGUUGUGGAGUCAUUGUUGAAAUACAACCCUUUGUUUAUCUGAGGCCUAACCCCGUUUUGCGGGGGACAUUGCUUGGUGGGUAGUUUGACUGGGGUGGUCGCCUCCAAAAGAGUAACGGAGGCUUCUAAAGGUUCCCUCAGUACGCUUGGUAACCGUGCGUAGAGUGCAAUGGCAUAAGGGAGCUUGACUGAGAGACAUACAGGUCGAUCAGGUACGAAAGUAGAGCAUAGUGAUCCGGUGGUUCCGCAUGGAAGGGCCAUCGCUCAAAGGAUAAAAGGUACGCCGGGGAUAACAGGCUGAUCUCCCCCAAGAGCUCAUAUCGACGGGGGGGUUUGGCACCUCGAUGUCGGCUCGUCCCAUCCUGAGGCUGGAGAAGGUCCCAAGGGUUGGGCUGUUCGCCCAUUAAAGUGGCACGCGAGCUGGGUUCAGAACGUCGUGAGACAGUUCGGUCUCUAUCUACUGUGGGCGUUAGAAAUUUGAGUGGAUCUGAUUCUAGUACGAGAGGACCGAAUUGGACAAACCUCUAGUGUAUCUGUUGUCCCCCAGGGGCACCGCAGAGUAGCUACGUUUGGAAGGGAUAAGCGCUGAAAGCAUAUAAGCGCGAAACCCACCACAAGAUGAGAUUUCUUUUAAGGAUCGUGGAAGAUGACCACGUUGAUAGGCUAUAGAUGUAAAGGCAGUAAUGUCAUAGUCGAGUAGUACUAAUAAUCC